Molecule: ribosomal RNA, 424 nt
Filed under: uncultured bacterium
Lineage: Bacteria
Description: bacterial SSU rRNA
Rfam family: Bacterial small subunit ribosomal RNA
Source: RNAcentral
UGAGGAAUAUUGGUCAAUGGGCGCAAGCCUGAACCAGCCAUCCCGCGUGCAGGAAGACGGCGCUAUGCGUUGUAAACUGCUUUUCCAGGGGGAGAAACUUGCGCACGUGUUGCGCAAUUGACGGUACCCUGGGAAUAAGCAUCGGCUAACUCCGUGCCAGCAGCCGCGGUAAUACGGAGGAUGCGAGCGUUAUCCGGAUUCAUUGGGUUUAAAGGGUGCGCAGGCGGACUAUUAAGUCAGUGGUGAAAUCCUGCAGCUUAACUGCAGAACUGCCAUUGAUACUGAUAGCCUUGAGUUUGGUUAAGGUAGGCGGAAUGUGUAAUGUAGUGGUGAAAUGCUUAGAUAUUACACAGAACACCAAUUGCGUAGGCAGCUUACUGAGCCGACACUGACGCUGAGGCACGAAAGCGUGGGGAUCGAACAG